GGCAGGGUAGCACAGCGGUUAAGGUGCCGGACUUGUAACCGAAAGGUUGCCGGUUCGAUUCCCCCCGCUGGGG
This is a non-coding RNA of Megalops atlanticus (tarpon), 73 nucleotides long. NCBI's taxonomy places the organism in Eukaryota, Metazoa, Chordata, Actinopteri, Elopiformes, Megalopidae. The record is from the annotation of a GenBank genome assembly.